Ctenocephalides felis (cat flea) is the source of this 859-nucleotide long non-coding RNA. RefSeq lists it as uncharacterized. Lineage: Eukaryota; Metazoa; Arthropoda; Insecta; Siphonaptera; Pulicidae. The record is from RefSeq and is a predicted model, not a curated record. The transcript has 3 exons.
GUUGUAUUGAUUAAAUUUAAUAAUAAUUAUAAUUUGAAAUAUAAAUAAAAGUGUAUACGUGCAGUAUUUGUGAUUAGUUAUUAAACAUACAGGUGGUGCAAAAUACCUUAAGCUCUGCAAUUAUAUAAAAUCUUUGAGCAACAAGUUGUUCCAUAUUAUAUCUGUCAAAUAUAAAGUACCUUGAGGAAAUAAAUCAAGUGAUCAAGUAAUCGAUUUUAGUGCAAUUGUUUCGUUUGGACGAAAAGAAGAAACUGCUGAAAAAAUACUAAUAGUGUUGAAACUAUCAACUCGCAAUGUCUUAUAACGAAACUAGUAAAACUAGUAGUUCAUUCAACAGAUGGAUGAAAAAUAUUCAGGAGGACAUCGAUUCUGGAUUUAAUUUAAACGAAUAUAAUGUUGAAGAAUAUGAGUCUACUUUUAACGCUAAGAAAUCUUUAAAUCAAAAAGCUCUUGAGAUGAACAAUAGUAAGUCUAUAGAAGGAUGUUCACAAAAUAUUAAGAAAGAUACUGUUUCAAAAAAUUGUGAUAAAAGUAGUAAUAAAGAGAUAAAUUAAAAUGGGCCUGUAAAUAAAACAUUGACAACAACUUAACUAAUGGUAGAAUCAAUUAAAAUAUGUUAAUAUAACGCAAAUGGCACCAUUAGAAAUAUAAAUAUUUCAACUCAACUUAGUCAAUAUUCUACUAAUCCGAAACUAACUUCAAUAUAAAAUCAUAACAUAUUCUACAUCAUCUGCAUUUCCCAUCACCCAGAUGUGAAAGUCAAUAUGACAUAAUUUUGUGAAAAAUUAAUUUCGAGAUGGGAACAAUGAACCUUCAAUUAGCGCAAGAAGUUGUUCUUAUCACAAGUAGAAAAAUAAUA